This 227-nucleotide unclassified non-coding RNA is filed under the name Psoroglaena sp. Its description in RNAcentral is "partial contains 5.8S ribosomal RNA, internal transcribed spacer 2, and large subunit ribosomal RNA". Lineage: Eukaryota; Fungi; Ascomycota; Eurotiomycetes; Verrucariales; Verrucariaceae. The record is from RNAcentral.
CGCACAUUGCGCCCCCUGGUAUUCCGGAGGGCAUGCCUGUCCGAGCGUCAGUAUCCCAUCUCAAGCCUGGCUUGUUGUUGGGCGGACCGGUUGGGUCCCCCUGAAAAGCAGCGGCGGCACCGUUUAGGUCGCAUCGCAACGAGCUUCGGCACGCGGUGCGGCCCCAACGGCCCGCCUACCACCUCUAGGUUGACCUCGGAUCAGACAGGAUUACCCGCUGAACUUAA